Molecule: ribosomal RNA, 631 nt
Filed under: Astralium wallisi
Lineage: Eukaryota; Metazoa; Mollusca; Gastropoda; Trochida; Turbinidae
Description: partial 12S ribosomal RNA
Rfam family: Bacterial small subunit ribosomal RNA
Source: RNAcentral
GACAAACAAGAUCAAGUUAAGAAUAAAAACAGCAAAAAAUGGGGUUAGAGGCAAUGCGAAUAUUAAGUCAGAAAGAAAAAUUAUGUUUUUUGUGGAGGUGGAAUUUGUGCAAAAAGAAUAACUUUUUAUUUUCUUGUGUCUUGAUGCCCCGAAACCUUAUGUUAAAACCGGGAUUAGAUACCCCGUUAUUUGAGAUGUAAAUUUUAAUUUAGUAUUUAAUUUGCUUGAGUAUUACGAAUUUUUUAACUAUUGUUAUUUAGAUUAUUUAAAACUCAAAAGACUUGGCGGUGCCUUAAAUCCUUCCAGGGGAACCUGUCCUAUAAUCGAUAAUCCACGAUUUAUCUUUCCUUUUUUUGAAUUUCUAUUUAUCAGCUUGUAUACCGUCGUCGCCAGAUCACCUCUAAGAGCGAAAGAGUUAUCAGCAAAACUGGAUAUUACUUAUUAUAAUUUAAUGUUAUAAUAUUCUAUAUUUUUGGACGUCAGAUCAAGGUGCAGUCUAUAGAAAGGAAGAGAUGGGUUACAAUAGUUAAUUACUAUACGAAUUCCUUGUUGUAAAAUAAGGUUGAAGGCGGACUUGGAAGUAAUAUCGACAGGAGUAGAAAGUCUUGAUGAAGAUGGUCCUAAGGCGUGC